GUGCCAGCCGCCGCGGUAAUACGUAGGUCCCGAGCGUUGUCCGGAUUUAUUGGGCGUAAAGCGAGCGCAGGCGGUUAGAUAAGUCUGAAGUUAAAGGCUGUGGCUUAACCAUAGUACGCUUUGGAAACUGUUUAACUUGAGUGCAAGAGGGGAGAGUGGAAUUCCAUGUGUAGCGGUGAAAUGCGUAGAUAUAUGGAGGAACACCGGUGGCGAAAGCGGCUCUCUGGCUUGUAACUGACGCUGAGGCUCGAAAGCGUGGGGAGCAACAGGAUUAGAUACC
This 280-nucleotide ribosomal RNA is filed under the name uncultured Streptococcaceae bacterium. RNAcentral describes it as "partial 16S ribosomal RNA". It matches the Rfam family "Bacterial small subunit ribosomal RNA", at positions 505 to 786 of the family's 1533-position model. The record is from RNAcentral. Lineage: Bacteria; Bacillati; Bacillota; Bacilli; Lactobacillales; Streptococcaceae.